AUCCUUUGGAGCCAAGGACUCGAACAGACAUGCGAGACCUCUAUCAACUGAAGGUUUCGUGAGCACACUCCUUUGCCAAGAUCUUGGUGAAUAGUCUUUCACUGUGCAGUUGUAUCUUAGAAAUUGUUUUACGUUUGAUCAUGAUUGUGCUUGGCUGGAUGUUUUUUGUUGGACUUGCAUGUUACAUGGGCACGUUUCCAGAGUCGAUGCCUCCAACUCUGAAGUGGCAGGAAAGGUGGCCUGUUCAGGAGAGCAAGACACAACUGAAGAGGCAGGCUUUAGAUGAAGAUCUGCCGCAGAACCAUGUGGAAGGGAUAUAAAUAUCCCCCAGGAGGGACCCCAGUGGAAGUAAGCAAGGAUGAUCCUGGUGAAGUAAUGCAGCUCUGAAGCUCACCUGACCAGCUGUACAGUUCCUGUUGUUGGUUUCGCAUAAACCACCUAAAUUAAUAAGUAAGAAUGCUCAGCAUCCAAUCCAUGAAUACAGAAUUUAUUCUACUUUGUACUUCAAAGUCACAGGAUGACAUCCAUAUGAUAGUUACAAAUUCUACUCUACAUUUUCAAGUUCUCAAUCCAUAGAUUAGGACAAGUCACUUUAUUGCUGGCAACAUUCAUGGAAGGUCCAGGUUUCUCAUAAAAAGACUAAGUUUGAUUGGGAGCAGGGCAGUGCCCUACUCACAGAUCAGCAGAAUUAUAGAAAUCAAGAGACAACCUUUUUUUUCCUUUCAAAGUAGCAAAGGAACAAUAAAAGAUUGGCUGACUGGUGACUGGCCCCACAUAAGAGUGCAUAGCUCAUCAGGAUCAAGGCUGGCAUCUGUGAACAGUUAACUUCAUAAGAGCACAUGUGGGCAUUAUAUCAUCUGCAUUACAGAUUUCACCCUGGAAAAUAUCUGAAAAUAUUUUAUGCUCAAAUGACAGCCUGCAAAUGACAGUAUGCAUUCCUUCUCCUUGAGUACCCAAGUAUAAAUCUAAAAUGAUAAGGGGACGUCUUCAGUCUGAAGGCAGGAAAUCCUUGCAGCAGAGCAGCUCUACAAUUUCACAAAAAUAAAAGCAGCAGCUAACGCCUCUUCAGCUUCUUGGCCCUUCGACGUUGCAUUUCUUCUUCUUCACGUCUCAUUUCCUCUAAGUCCUCUUGCAUACCUAGUCUUAAGCUGCCAAAGAAUUUUUAAAGGGUAUUUAUUAAUAUACAUGAGAUGAUCACUUUCCAUAAAAAGAAUGAAAUUUCCAACUGGGAGCUCAUGGAUUGUGCUGAUGCUCUCAAAAUGCUUCAAGGCUUUACCACUGAAAACAAACUAGCAGGGAUAUUUUUUUUACCAGGGGUCACAGACCCAAAUUGUACUGGGAAAAAGAACUCACACACCACAAAAACCUUAGUAUUUCCAUUAAAAUAAUAAAAUAUAAGUUUAUCUCAAUAGCUUUUAAAAAUAAACAGCAAGAAGCAUUUAUUCAUU
This is an RNA transcript of Piliocolobus tephrosceles (Ugandan red Colobus), 1448 nucleotides long. It is a transcript of the gene named mitochondrial sheath formation associated, with no coding region annotated. Lineage: Eukaryota; Metazoa; Chordata; Mammalia; Primates; Cercopithecidae. The record is from RefSeq and is a predicted model, not a curated record. The transcript is spliced from 5 exons.